AUGGAGUCGCCACGAAAGUUGCGCCCGCUCAUCAUCAUGGCGAUGCUACUGCUGCUCGUGAUGGCUGCGGAGGGCCAUAAACGUUGUCCAGAGGACUUGUGUGAAGGACCAAGUGGCAAGUUCAAAGGUGCAUGUUCGCAGGACGACGAAUGCCAAGAAACAUGUGGAGACGAGGGUUUUCAUACUGGCUUUUGUAAAGUUGGGCCUUUUAAUGGUGCAUGUAAAUGUUUCUUGUUUCUUCACUACAACACGUCCGGUUUGCUAUUGCUUUGGCCGUGGUAG
RNAcentral lists this ribosomal RNA (282 nucleotides) under Triticum aestivum (bread wheat). Its description in RNAcentral is "partial small subunit ribosomal RNA". The record is from RNAcentral. Lineage: Eukaryota; Viridiplantae; Streptophyta; Magnoliopsida; Poales; Poaceae.